This 294-nucleotide long non-coding RNA is filed under the name Prunus persica (peach). RNAcentral describes it as "long non-coding RNA (PPER_LNC005334)". The record is from RNAcentral. Lineage: Eukaryota; Viridiplantae; Streptophyta; Magnoliopsida; Rosales; Rosaceae.
GAGGCCCUGAGAGCCCAUGAGGAGGUUGUGAGAACUCAAUGCAACCUCAAACGCUGAACGCUUUCUUGGUGAUCAGAAUUACAAUGUCCAAAUCAAGGGCCCCAUCUAUCCUUCAAAACCCUACUUCUUCUUCUUCUUCAUCAAAACCUAGAUAAUGUCGUCUAGGUUUUGGGGGAGGAGGGGGAAUUGAAAGAGAAAUGAAAAUUUGGGAGACAAUUAAAAUUACUCAAAAUAAACUUGAUUGUCCGGGUGUGAGACUGCUGAUUGUCCUGGCAGCAGUGAAUUGAAACCCUG